GUAUUGAUUCCGAUGAGUUUUGGUCCGUAGAUUUUGGGUUGGUACGUUUUCCCUCGAUUUGUCCUAGUGGAACCGCAGUCCUAUUUUCCCCUUCUAUGGAGGUUGAUAUAUUCAGAUGUAAUUGACCAGUACUCAAAGGUGGUACCACAGUGGUGGAAGUAUUAUCUGAAUUCUAUUUCGGUGGGUACGUGGUCAAGUUUCGGGGACGAAACUUCUUUUAAGGGGGGGAUAAUGUAAGGACUAAGAUGUUUACAGUGCAAUUAAACUCUCCGUUGACGAUGUUUAUGUGUGUAAUUUAAUUACAUAAGCACUCGUCAAGUUUCAGGACAAAAUGAGCUAAAACGGAGGAGUUACGCGAUUAUUAGUUUUCACUUAAGUGAAUAGUAACUCCGGUUUUUCGGUGAAGCCACAGAGUAGAGUUGGCUUUCUCCG
RNAcentral lists this long non-coding RNA (432 nucleotides) under Ananas comosus (pineapple). RNAcentral's name for it is "long non-coding RNA (ACOM_LNC034118)". The record is from RNAcentral. Lineage: Eukaryota; Viridiplantae; Streptophyta; Magnoliopsida; Poales; Bromeliaceae.